GACGAACGCUGGCGGCGUGCCUAAUACAUGCAAGUUGAGCGCUGAAGGUUGGUACUUGUACCGACUGGAUGAGCAGCGAACGGGUGAGUAACGCGUGGGGAAUCUGCCUUUGAGCGGGGGACAACAUUUGGAAACGAAUGCUAAUACCGCAUAAAAACUUUAAACACAAGUUUUAAGUUUGAAGGAUGCAAUUGCAUCACUCAAAGAUGAUCCCGCGUUGUAUUAGCUAGUUGGUGAGGUAAAGGCUCACCAAGGCGAUGAUACAUAGCCGACCUGAGAGGGUGAUCGGCCACAUUGGGACUGAGACACGGCCCAAACUCCUACGGGAGGCAGCAGUAGGGAAUCUUCGGCAAGGGACGAAAGUCUGACCGAGCAACGCCGCGUGAGUGAAGAAGGUUUUCGGAUCGUAAAACUCUGUUGGUAGAGAGGAACGUUGGUGAGAGUGGAAAGCUCAUCAAGUGACGGUAACUACCCAGAAAGGGACGGCUAACUACGUG
This 497-nucleotide ribosomal RNA is filed under the name uncultured bacterium. RNAcentral describes it as "partial 16S ribosomal RNA". It matches the Rfam family "Bacterial small subunit ribosomal RNA", at positions 28 to 507 of the family's 1533-position model. The record is from RNAcentral.